RNAcentral lists this ribosomal RNA (497 nucleotides) under uncultured bacterium. RNAcentral's name for it is "partial 16S ribosomal RNA". It matches the Rfam family "Bacterial small subunit ribosomal RNA", at positions 28 to 507 of the family's 1533-position model. The record is from RNAcentral.
GAUGAACGCUGGCGGCGUGCCUAAUACAUGCAAGUCGAGCGAACAGACGAGGAGCUUGCUCCUCUGACGUUAGCGGCUGACGGGCGAGUAACACGUGGAUAACCUACCUAUAAUACUGGGAUAACUUCGGGAAACCGGAGCUAAUACCGGAUAAUAUAUUGAACCGCAUGGUUCAAUAGAGAAAGACGGUUUUGCUGUCACUUAUAGAUGGUUCCGCGCCGCAUUAGCUAGUUGGUAAGGUAACGGCUUACCAAGGCAACGAUGCGUAGCCGACCUGAGAGGGUGAUCAGCCACACUGGAACUGAGACACGGUCCAGACUCCUACGGGAGGCAGCAGUAGGGAAUCUUGCACAAUGGGCGAAAGCUUGACGGAGCAACGCCGCGUGAGUGAUGAAGGUCUUCGGGUCGUAAAACUCUGUUAUUAGGGAAGAACAAAUGUGUAAGUAACUAUGCACGUCUUGAUGGUACCUAAUCAGAAAGCCACGGCUAACUACGUG